Molecule: RNA transcript, 4008 nt
Organism: Musa acuminata AAA Group (dessert banana)
Lineage: Eukaryota; Viridiplantae; Streptophyta; Magnoliopsida; Zingiberales; Musaceae
Gene name: phosphatidylinositol 4-phosphate 5-kinase 1-like
Exons: 10
Source: RefSeq, a predicted model, not a curated record
UGGUGGUGGGUAGUUUCGUCAAUGAGCUCUUCGAACGGCCUCGCUGGCGUUGAUGUGGUAUUAUUGUAUGCCGAUGACGACCCCCUUCUCUGGCCCUCUUGCAUAUCGGAACAAGAGCAAAGCAAAAGCGAAAGAACAAAAAGCACAGGGUUUCUCUUCCUGUUCCUGGAUUCGAUCCAUAUCUUCUUCUAUUUGUCCACGGAGGAGGGAAAAGGGGUGGUUUCGAUCCGAAGAGGAAUGCCGGGUUCGGUUGGAGGCGAUUAGGGCUUUUGAUCGGAGAAUGUGGCGUCUCGGACGUGACGGCGACGCCACCGGGAUCGGCGGCGGAGGCGGGGAAGCGGUGGAUGAGGACGCAGGCAAGCCGGUGGUGGUGGCGGUCCCCCCGGCGAUGCAGGCGGAGGCGUACCACCAGGCUAGAAGUAGAUCUCAGGGCGGCGGCGGCGGCGGCCGGAGAGUCGCCCCCGCUGCAUGUUCUCCGGAAGAGAACGCGACGGCGGUGGAGAAGGCGCUUCCGAACGGGGACAUGUACACUGGGGGUUUCGUCGGGAACGCGCCCCACGGCCGCGGAAAGUACUUGUGGGCCGACGGUUGCAUGUACGAGGGGGAGUGGCGGCGGGGGAAGGCGGCCGGGAAGGGUAAGUUCUCGUGGCCCUCCGGCGCGACGUUCGAGGGCGAGUUCCGCUCCGGCCGUAUGGAGGGCUUCGGGACCUUCACUGGAUCGGAGGGCGACACCUACCGAGGCUUCUGGAUCGCCGACCGCAAGCACGGGUACGGAUGCAAGUGGUACGCCAACAGCGACUACUACGAGGGCGGGUGGCGGCGGAACCUCCAGGAGGGCCGAGGCCGGUAUGUGUGGCGGAGCGGGAACCAGUACGUCGGCGAGUGGCGGAACGGCGUCAUCUCCGGCCGCGGGGCGCUGAUCUGGGCGAAUGGCAACCGCUACGACGGCCAUUGGGAGAACGGCGUGCCAAAGGGGAGCGGCGUGUUCACGUGGCCCGACAGCAGUUGCUACGUCGGUAGCUGGAGUAAAGGCGAUCCAAAGAGCUUCAACGGAACCUUUUACCCUGCCGUCACCACAGGACGCAAGGAGAUCGGUGGAAAGAGGAGCUCAUUCUCGCUUUUGGAUGAAGCAUUCAUGCUUCCGCCGCUGGCACCAGCGUCGAGGAAGACAUCGUCGGUGGACGGUGUACUGGGGAGGAGGAGCUCCACCGCAGAAAAGAACUUCCCCAGGAUCUGUAUCUGGGAAUCUGAGGAUGAGGCCGGGGACAUCACAUGCGAUAUCAUCGAUACAAUCGAGGCAGCGAUGCUUUACAAGGAUGGCUUGUCCUUCGAUCAGGGUGAGCGAACACUAAUCAGUGCCGUGCAGCAGCGACGCAACCAAUAUUGUUUGUCAACAUGGGAGGCGAAGAAGCCAGGGCAGACUAUAUUGAAGGGUCAUAAGAACUAUGAUCUGAUGUUGAACCUUCAAUUGGGCAUCAGUUACUCUGUUGGGAAGCCAGGUUCACUCAGAGAGCUCGGAGCCAGGGAUUUUGAUCCCAGGGAGAAGUAUUGGACUAGGUUUCCUCCCGAGGGAUCAAAGAUUACACCACCUCACCAGUCCAUGGAGUUCCGGUGGAAGGAUUAUUGCCCUAUGGUUUUCAGACACUUGAGGAAGUUGUUUAACGUUGAUCCGGCAGAUUAUAUGGUAGCCAUAUGUGGAAAUGAUGCUUUGAGGGAACUAUCUUCCCCUGGGAAGAGCGGAAGUGUCUUCUACCUAACCCAAGAUGACCGCUUCAUGAUUAAGACUGUGAAGAAAUCUGAAGUGAAGGUACUUAUUAGGAUGUUACCCAGUUACUACCAACAUGUCUAUCGGUAUGAAAAUUCACUGGUCACGAAGUUCUAUGGUGUUCAUUGUGUGAAGCCCAUUGGUGGGCCAAAGGUACGUUUCAUUAUAAUGGGCAAUUUAUUUUGCUCAGAUUAUCAUAUUCAUAGAAGAUUUGACCUGAAAGGUUCAUCCUAUGGUCGAUCAACUGACAAGGCUGAGGAAGAGAUCGAUGAGAUGACAACCCUGAAGGAUCUUGACCUAAACUACAUAUUUCGCCUGCAUAGGUCUUGGUACCUGGAGCUUCUUGAACAAAUCAAGCGGGAUUGUGAAUUCUUGGAAGCAGAGGGGAUUAUGGAUUAUAGUCUCCUGUUGGGGUGUCACUUCUGCGAUGAUGUUUCAGCAUCAUGGGCAGGUUCAUCACCAUGUUCUGCUUCUACAAAACCUUAUCGCAAGAGCUAUUCAUUUCAAGAUCGAGCUGCUUGGUCCAAAUUGCAGUUAUCGAAGUCAACCCAUCAAGAUAUGGAUCUAUCAAUGGGUGGCCGGAAACCUUUUAUCGGGCUAGGCUUAAACAUGCCGGCAAGAGCAGAGCACACAACAAGAAGCGAAUUGAUGCCGACACUCAAUGGCAAGAUCCAUGAUGUGAUUCUCUACUUUGGGAUAAUCGAUGUCCUCCAGGACUACGAUAUUACUAAGAAGCUGGAACAUGCUUACAAAUCCUUACAGGUGGAUCCCAAUUCCAUCUCAGCAGUGGAUCCAAAGCUCUACUCCAGGCGGUUCCAAGAAUUCAUCAGGAGAAUCUUUAUGGAAGAUGACUGACCAAACAGGGAAAGGGGGAGAACCUGGACAGACUUCAGAAGCCAAAAUCACCAUGGACGAAACAUGACUUUCUGUUAUUGGCUCAACAUGUGCUGUUAAUAACUUUGCUCUAUGACACCUGAAUUUGGCAAAUGCCAACGGACUGAAAGCGUGACUCAGGGAGAAGCAUUUGAAGGUUUGCUAUAUAGGAGGCAGAUGACCAAAAUUAUCAUUCAGCUUCGCGAAACCUAAAUUUGAGAUGCUCAUGUACCUUUCCGAUGAAUAGUGAGCUAAUCAGCCAUAGACACUCAGCAUUAGGAACCUGAAGUUGAGAGCUUCAACUGUCCAUCGGAUGAAGGCGGAUCUUGAUCAGAGAAAGAAUUGUUACAUGUGCAGAUUUCACUAGCUUAAGUUUGAGACCCUCAAUUGACCAGCGGAGGAUGCUACAAUUUGCUCCAGCAGGUGACAAGUUUGAAAGCUCUGCCAUUGUUACAAUAUGGUAUAUGGAUUCCAUUAGUUUUCUAUACUUCCUUUUGGGUUUCAGAUAGAUAGGGAACAUAAUUUUAUACUGUUUGAGGGGGGAAAAAAAAAGAAAAGAACAUAUCAACUUGCAGUUGUAGGCAUCAAAUAAGAAUUGUACAGGAAAUGGAAGAGGAAGGUGAUGAUAGUGAUGAUGAUAUGUGCAUGAACCCAAAGCAGAGAGAAGCUCGCACUGCCCCAUCUCAACAGCUUCUGAGUCGAGAGGGGCAUUAUCGGACGUGGGAAAAAGGUGGGCUGGAGAAUGGAAUUGGCAUCAAAAGCGGAGAAAAGUGCGCCAGCCAAGAUGGUGGGUAUGGCAUCACAUCUCUCCUCUUUCCCUUCCUCUUCUCGCUCCCAUUCCCACCCACUCGCACUGUUGUUGCUCUCCCAUUCAACAGCUCCUUCAAAUUCCAUUUCUUUCCUUAUCCUUGGCGUCUUUUGCUUUCUCCGUGUUUGACCAGUCUAACCCUUGUAGCUUCCCGUGUUACUCUUUCCUCUACUGGUGAACCAAAAGAGGAGAGAAGGCUGCUUACCACUAACUAUUGAGCAUCUCAAAGAACAGAAUACUAUUAAGCAUUCAGCUUUUUUUCCCCCUUUCUUCCAAUCAAGUAUUCAUCUUUGGAGUUUGGAGAGGGGGAAAGAUAAGUUUAAUCUCUCUUCUCUCUCAUUAUGCUAGUUGUAAUCGAGGUCGAAGGCUGUGUCAGGGCUUAUCACCUUUCCGUACCCUUUCCUAGUCGUUAUUUGAUUGAGUGUCUUGUUUCAACACGAAACCGAGCUCAGAAAGGGAAGUUGAUAUGUAUGUGUCCACAGAUCGCCUGUGAACUCGAAUCUGCAUGUCUCCUUCGGCUUACGCCAUUACAGUAAACCGCUACUUGCUUUCUUGCUGAUGA